RNAcentral lists this ribosomal RNA (590 nucleotides) under uncultured Agaricales. RNAcentral describes it as "eukaryotic LSU rRNA". The stretch from base 88 to 241 matches the Rfam family "5.8S ribosomal RNA". Lineage: Eukaryota; Fungi; Basidiomycota; Agaricomycetes; Agaricales. The record is from RNAcentral.
AGUAUUCGGGUUCUAUGUUUUCACAAACUCUAUGAAUGUCUUUGAAUGUUUUUUACUGGGACUUAAUUGGCCCUUUAAACUUUAUACAACUUCCAGCAACGGAUCUCUUGGCUCUCGCAUCGAUGAAGAACGCAGCGAAAUGCGAUAAGUAAUGUGAAUUGCAGAAUUCAGUGAAUCAUCGAAUCUUUGAACGCACCUUGCGCCCUUUGGUAUUCCGAAGGGCAUGCCUGUUUGAGUGUCAUUAAAUUCUCAACUUCAAAGGCUUUGUCUUUUGAAGCUUGGAUGGUGAAGGCUUGCUGGCGUUUUAAAUGUCUCAGCUCCUUUGAAAAGUAUUAGUGGACCCGUUUGUGUUCAUUCCUUAGUGUGAUAAUUAUCUACGCUGUGGUCUUUGAAUGCAUGCUCAUUAGAAUCUUUCGAGCUGUUGUUUUUACUACAGUCUCGGUGUGGAGAGUUGCAUGAAUUUGCUCUUUCUGUCUCUUGAGUCAGGAUUGUCUGCUUCAAACCGUCUACACAUUGUAGACAAUUUUGAACCAUUUGACCUCAAUCAGGUAGGACUACCCGCUGAACUUAAGCAUAUCAUAAGCGGAGGA